CACAUGCAGUCGAGGGGAAACGAUGGGAGGGCUUGCCCUCCCAGGCGUCGACCGGCGCACGGGUGAGUAACACGUAUCCAACCUGCCCUCUUCCGGGGAACAACCUUGCGAAAGUAAGACUAAUGCCCCAUGUGUCCUCAGACGGCAUCAGACGAGGACGAAAGAUUUAUCGGAAGUGGAUGGGGAUGCGCCUGAUUAGGCAGUUGGCGGGGCAACGGCCCACCAAGCCGACGAUCAGUAGGGGUUCUGAGAGGAAGGUCCCCCACAUUGGAACUGAGACACGGUCCAAACUCCUACGGGAGGCAGCAGUGAGGAAUAUUGGUCAAUGGGCGAGAGCCUGAACCAGCCAAGUAGCGUGCAGGAUGACGGCCCUAUGGGUUGUAAACUGCUUUUGCGCGGGGAUAAAGUGCGCCACGUGUGGCGCAUUGCAGGUACCGCGCGAAUAAGGACCGGCUAAUUCCGUGCCAGCAGCCGCGGUAAUACGGAAGGUCCGGGCGUUAUCCGGAUUCAUUGGGUUUAAAGGGAGCGCAGGCCGCCCCUUAAGCGUGUUGUGAAAUGCCGCGGCUCAACCGUGGCACUGCAGCGCGAACUGGGGGGCUUGAGUGCGCGCAGCGCAGGCGGAACUCGUGGGUGUAGCGGUGGAAAUGCUUAGAUAUCACGAAGAACUCCCGAUCG
This 675-nucleotide ribosomal RNA is filed under the name uncultured bacterium. Its description in RNAcentral is "bacterial SSU rRNA". It matches the Rfam family "Bacterial small subunit ribosomal RNA", at positions 52 to 716 of the family's 1533-position model. The record is from RNAcentral.